Long non-coding RNA from Daphnia pulex (common water flea), 1807 nucleotides. RefSeq lists it as uncharacterized. The transcript is spliced from 7 exons. Lineage: Eukaryota; Metazoa; Arthropoda; Branchiopoda; Diplostraca; Daphniidae. The record is from RefSeq and is a predicted model, not a curated record.
UCAGAGUUCGUUCCAUGGUUCGUUCAGUGUCUCAGUGUCUCAGUGUCUCACGUCUCAGCCUUAUUAGCCAUAUAUGCUCACGAUUCAUAGCCCCACAAGUAAACUGUUGGACAGUAUAUCUAGCCUGAAAUAGCAAGAGUUCUAAUCUCCAGUCUACAUUGGACUCAACAUGUUACAUGCUUCAUCGUUCAACAAAAUAUUGAUGCUGAAGGGAAAAUGCUAACAAGUGAGAAAAAAAAAACAUUUAUCCAAAAGUGAAGAAUAGUAGAAGAAGGCAGCCCAGUUUUCGACUGCAUGUUCCAGGUUCGUCAGAGAGGAGAUUGAUCAAUUUCACUCAACUGUCGACUCGAAUAUUGGAUGUUUUUAAAAAAGAAAAUCUUCUGCAGACACAAGACACCAGAUCUUCAAAUCAGAAAUUCAAAUUCAGAAAUUCAAAUCUCAAAAAAGAUCUUCAACAGAUCUAGAAACACAAAGGUGAUGGAAUUCAUCUUUGUGGCCAAUAGAGCUCUACCGCUCGCAGCAUCUAGCCCGAUGUCGUUAAAGAUUUCCAUCACGGCCCCAUGGAUAACUCGCUUUUUUGGAUCUACUCAUUGGCCUCACCUCUGUUUCUGGCCUAAUGUCUCGUUUUUCUGCACAAACGGUCUCAACUCGUUGAGCAAAUUCGCUUUGUACGUAAGUUCGAACCCUCUAUAUGCGUGUCCCGCUGAGAAGAAAUGGCGACCAAAGCCGGCAACACGGGCAAUGGAAGCUUGGGAUGGGACAGUUGUUAUUUCUGAACAUGUUUUCUACAAAAAAUGCAUUGACAGACAAGUCAAGCAAGACAAGAGGAAGCUAUGUGAACAUAAUCAAGGCCAUGGGUAAUCUUCAGGUUUAUUCACCAACUUUGGGGAAGUCACACGAAAAGAUGCAGGGCACAUACCAGAAUGUGUAUUUUUCUGAAUUUUUUACUCAAGCAGCUGGUGCUGUUGCCUUACAGCCACAGGCAGGAAAAAUAUGGUUUUCUUCAGGAAAUUGGAAAGCUGCUGGAGUAAUCUGGUGUUGAUGCUCAUUUGAUGCAUUUCGUGCCAGCUAGUGAAAGCCGAAAGGCAUGUCGAAUUCAAGUUGAGCUGCUGCGGGCUGUCUCUGGAAGCAAGCAAGAAGCAAUCCAGCCGUUGCGUUCAGUCAUUUGAACAGAAAUCUAAUGGCUGUCAAUAGGUGGCUGUCAAAAGUUGGCCGGAAUGUCCACCAGGUAGCGCGAGUGUCUUCAGGGACGCAUCUCGGCCAUUUUGUUCCAAGACGCUGCAGAAAGGGGCUGCUGGUCGUGACGUUUCUCACGAUGAAAAUUAAAAGGUGAUUUAGCAUGUGGAACACUUUGCUAAGUCAUUCAACUCAGACUUGGAAGUGCCUGUACAUUGCCGAAAUGGCGUGCCUCGUGUGUCUCGCUGUCUGUUCUUAGGCGUACUUCUCAUCCCAUGCAACAGUAAAAAGUAUUACAAACGCUUCUUUAAAGCUGUUGGGGUUAUCUUGUUGCAGCCAAAUGGUGAAAGGUGUGACGAAGACAGAUUGAACCGUUGUAUGCAGCAUGAGGUUGCAGUGUGAUCCAGAAGUAGCUGUGUUGGACCUGAAAUUGCUAUGCUGUUGUAGCCGAGCUGUUCCAUCUGGGUUCCUGACUUCAAAUUUUUAAGUUGUUGUUUGUGUUUUAAUCCAUGCCAUAUGAAAUUGCUCCGCCAGUGAUAUUUGUGUUCUGACUUGAAAGUGUUUGAUCUGUCGUCUUUUGAGUUUUCAUUCAAUCAUGCAGUAUACGACUGAGGCAACCUGAUCAAUAUCA